CCUACGGGCGGCACCAGUGGGGAAUAUUGGACAAUGGGGGGAACCCUGAUCCAGCCAUGCCGCGUGUGUGAAGAAGGCCUUUUGGUUGUAAAGCACUCUAAGCGAGGAGGAGGCUACCUAGGUUAAUACUUUAGGAUAGUGGACGUUACUCGCAGAAUAAGCACCGGCUAACUCUGUGCCAGCAGCCGCGGUAAUACAGAGGGUGCGAGCGUUAAUCGGAUUUACUGGGCGUAAGGCGUGCGUAGGCGGCCAAUUAAGUCAAAUGUGAAAUCCCCGAGCUUAACUUGGGAAUUGCAUUCGAUACUGGUUGGCUAGAGUAUGGGAGAGGAUGGUAGAAUUCCAGGUGUAGCGGUGAAAUGCGUAGAGAUCUGGAGGAAUACCGAUGGCGAAGGCAGCCAUCUGGCCUAAUACUGACGCCGAGGUACGAAAGCAUGGGGAGCAAACAGGAUUAGAUACCCCGGUAGUC
Molecule: ribosomal RNA, 466 nt
Filed under: uncultured bacterium
Lineage: Bacteria
Description: bacterial SSU rRNA
Rfam family: Bacterial small subunit ribosomal RNA
Source: RNAcentral